AUUGAACGCUGGCGGCAUGCCUUACACAUGCAAGUCGAACGGCAGCGGACCUUCGGGUGCCGGCGAGUGGCGAACGGGUGAGUAAUAUAUCGGAACGUACCUUUCAGUGGGGGAUAACGUAGCGAAAGUUACGCUAAUACCGCAUACUCUGUGAGCAGGAAAGCAGGGGAUCGCAAGACCUUGCGCUGAUUGAGCGGCCGAUAUCAGAUUAGCUAGUUGGUGAGGUAAAGGCUCACCAAGGCGACGAUCUGUAGCGGGUCUGAGAGGAUGAUCCGCCACACUGGAACUGAGACACGGUCCAGACUCCUACGGGAGGCAGCAGUGGGGAAUUUUGGACAAUGGGCGCAAGCCUGAUCCAGCCAUGCCGCGUGAGUGAAGAAGGCCUUCGGUU
Molecule: ribosomal RNA, 391 nt
Filed under: uncultured bacterium
Lineage: Bacteria
Description: bacterial SSU rRNA
Rfam family: Bacterial small subunit ribosomal RNA
Source: RNAcentral